AUACGGAGGGCACAAGCGUUGUUCGGAAUUAUUGGGCGUAAAGCGCGUGUAGGCGGCUUGGCAAGUCGGGUGUGAAAGCCCGGGCUCAACCUGGGAACUGCCUUUGAAAUUGUCGUGCUAGAGACCGGGAGAGGAUGGCGGAAUUCCCAGUGUAGAGGUGAAAUUCGUAGAUAUUGGGAAGAACACCGGUGGCGAAGGCGGCCAUCUGGACCGGAUCUGACGCUGAGGCGCGAAAGCGUGGGGAGCAAACAGGAUUAGAAACCCCUGUAGUCC
This 273-nucleotide ribosomal RNA is filed under the name uncultured bacterium. RNAcentral describes it as "partial 16S ribosomal RNA". It matches the Rfam family "Bacterial small subunit ribosomal RNA", at positions 523 to 796 of the family's 1533-position model. The record is from RNAcentral.